UACGAAGGGGGCUAGCGUUGCUCGGAAUCACUGGGCGUAAAGCGCACGUAGGCGGAUUGCUAAGUCAGGGGUGAAAUCCUGGAGCUCAACUCCAGAACUGCCUUUGAUACUGAGGAUCUUGAGUCCGGGAGAGGUGAGUGGAACUGCGAGUGUAGAGGUGAAAUUCGUAGAUAUUCGCAAGAACACCAGUGGCGAAGGCGGCUCACUGGCCCGGUACUGACGCUGAGGCACGAAAGCGUGGGGAGCAAACAGG
RNAcentral lists this ribosomal RNA (253 nucleotides) under uncultured bacterium. RNAcentral's name for it is "partial 16S ribosomal RNA". It matches the Rfam family "Bacterial small subunit ribosomal RNA", at positions 524 to 776 of the family's 1533-position model. The record is from RNAcentral.